GGCGAACGGGUGAGUAAUGCAUCGGAACGUACCUUUCAGUGGGGGAUAACGUAGCGAAAGUUACGCUAAUACCGCAUAUUCUGUGAGCAGGAAAGCAGGGGAUCGCAAGACCUUGCGCUGAUUGAGCGGCCGAUAUCAGAUUAGCUAGUUGGUGGGGUAAAAGCUCACCAAGGCGACGAUCUGUAGCGGGUCUGAGAGGAUGAUCCGCCACACUGGAACUGAGACACGGUCCAGACUCCUACGGGAGGCAGCAGUGGGGAAUUUUGGACAAUGGACGCAAGUCUGAUCCAGCCAUUCCGCGUGCAGGAUGAAGGCCCUCGGGUUGUAAACUGCUUUUGUACGGAACGAAAAGGUUUCCAUUAAUACUGGGAGCUCAUGACGGUACCGUAAGAAUAAGCACCGGCUAACUACGUGCCAGCAGCCGCGGUAAUACGUAGGGUGCAAGCGUUAAUCGGAAUUACUGGGCGUAAAGCGUGCGCAGGCGGUUAUGUAAGACAGAGGUGAAAUCCCCGGGCUCAACCUGGGAACUGCCUUUGUGACUGCAUAGCUAGAGUACGGUAGAGGGGGAUGGAAUUCCGCGUGUAGCAGUGAAAUGCGUAGAUAUGCGGAGGAACACCGAUGGCGAAGGCAAUCCCCUGGACCUGUACUGACGCUCAUGCACGAAAGCGUGGGGAGCAAACAGGAUUAGAUACCCUGGUAGUCCACGCCCUAAACGAUGUCAACUGGUUGUUGGGUCUUCACUGACUCAGUAACGAAGCUAACGCGUGAAGUUGACCGCCUGGGGAGUACGGCCGCAAGGUUGAAACUCAAAGGAAUUGACGGGGACUGCACAGCGUUGGAUGGAUUGUGUUUAAUUCGAUGCAACGCGAAAAACCUUACCCACCUUUGAAAUUUACGAAGUCGCUAAAAGAUAGCUUCGUGCUCGAAAGAAAAGCGUAACACAGUGCUGCAUGCUUGUCGUCAGCUCUGUCUGAGAAUGUUUGGGUUAAGUUCCCGCAACGAGCGCAAACCCUUGUCAUUAAUUGCUACAUUCAAUUGGGCACUCUAAU
RNAcentral lists this ribosomal RNA (1049 nucleotides) under uncultured bacterium. RNAcentral's name for it is "bacterial SSU rRNA". It matches the Rfam family "Bacterial small subunit ribosomal RNA", at positions 97 to 1144 of the family's 1533-position model. The record is from RNAcentral.